Non-coding RNA from Mycena rebaudengoi, 93 nucleotides. NCBI's taxonomy places the organism in Eukaryota, Fungi, Basidiomycota, Agaricomycetes, Agaricales, Mycenaceae. The record is from the annotation of a GenBank genome assembly.
AGCUUGGUGGUGUAGUUGGAAACACGCUCUCUUCAUAUUUGUGCUUUUCAAGUUGAUCAGGGAAAGUCCCUUGUUCAAAUCAAGGUCAGGCUA